GAUAAACGCUGGCGGCGUGCUUUAUGCAUGCAAGUCGAACGGUUCCGAUUUAUCGGAACAGUGGCGAAUGGGUGAGUAACACGUAAGUAACCUGCCCCUAAGUAGGGAAUAACUUCGGGAAACCGGGGCUAAUACCUUAUGUGCUUAUAAUGGUAAGGCGUUGUAAGUAAAGCCUUCGGGUGCUUGGGGAGGGGCUUGCGUCCGAUUAGCUAGUUGGUAGGGUAAAGGUUUACCAAGGCGAUGAUCGGUAGCUGGUUUGAGAGGGCAGUCAGCCACACUGGGACUGAGACACGGCCCAGACUCCUACGGGAGGCAGCAGCAAGGAAUAUUGUGCAAUGGGCGCAAGCCUGACACAGCGACGCCGCGUGAGGGAUGAAGAUCUUCGGGUUGUAAACCUCUUUUUCUCAGGGAAGAAUAAUGACGGUACCUGAGGAAUAAGUCUCGGCUAACUACGUG
Molecule: ribosomal RNA, 456 nt
Filed under: uncultured bacterium
Lineage: Bacteria
Description: bacterial SSU rRNA
Rfam family: Bacterial small subunit ribosomal RNA
Source: RNAcentral